AGCGCCUCGGGGGGCAGCAGUAGGGAAUAUUGCUCAAUGGGGGAAACCCUGAAGCAGCAACGCCGCGUGGAGGAUGAAGGUUUUAGGAUUGUAAACUCCUUUUGUGAGAGAAGAUAAUGACGGUAUCUCACGAAUAAGCACCGGCUAACUCCGUGCCAGCAGCCGCGGUAAUACGGAGGGUGCAAGCGUUACUCGGAAUCACUGGGCGUAAAGAGUGCGCAGGCGGGCUUGUACGUCAGAUUUUAAAUCCUGUAGCUUAACUUCAGACCUGCAUUUGCAACUUUGAGUCU
RNAcentral lists this ribosomal RNA (290 nucleotides) under uncultured bacterium. RNAcentral's name for it is "partial 16S ribosomal RNA". It matches the Rfam family "Bacterial small subunit ribosomal RNA", at positions 334 to 642 of the family's 1533-position model. The record is from RNAcentral.